AGGACGAACGCUGGCGGCGUGCUUAACACAUGCAAGUCGAGCGAGGCCCUUCCUUCGGGAAGGUGCCCUAGCGGCGAACGGGUGAGUAACACGUGGGCAACCUGCCCCUAGCACUGGGAUAACUCCGGGAAACCGGGGCUAAUACCGGAUAUGACCAUCGAGGGCAUCCUCUUUGGUGCAAAGGAUUCUGGCUAGGGAUGGGCCCGCGGCCUAUCAGCUUGUUGGUGGGGUAACGGCCUACCAAGGCGACGACGGGUAGCCGGCCUGAGAGGGCGACCGGCCACACUGGGACUGAGACACGGCCCAGACUCCUACGGGAGGCAGCAGUGGGGAAUAUUGCACAAUGGGCGAAAGCCUGAUGCAGCGACGCCGCGUGAGGGAUGACUGCCUUCGGGUUGUAAACCUCUUUCAGCAGGGACGAAGCGAAAGUGACGGUACCUGCAGAAGAAGCACCGGCCAACUACGUGCCAGCAGCCGCGGUAA
This 483-nucleotide ribosomal RNA is filed under the name uncultured bacterium. RNAcentral's name for it is "SSU rRNA". It matches the Rfam family "Bacterial small subunit ribosomal RNA", at positions 26 to 523 of the family's 1533-position model. The record is from RNAcentral.